Long non-coding RNA from Fukomys damarensis (Damara mole-rat), 1822 nucleotides. RefSeq lists it as uncharacterized. The record is from RefSeq and is a predicted model, not a curated record. The transcript is spliced from 3 exons. NCBI's taxonomy places the organism in Eukaryota, Metazoa, Chordata, Mammalia, Rodentia, Bathyergidae.
GAGACCUUGUCUCCAAAAACCAAAAUAAAUAAAUUGAUAAAAUAACAAAACACCAUAAUGGGUGUGAACAUUUUUAGAGGGGCAUGAAAGCCAGCUGAGAACAAAGUAAGGUUCAGAAGGAGUGGUCAGUCUGCAUCAGCCGCCUCCGGCGACUCCGCUCCACCGUUCACCCUCCUGAGUUCUGGGGGAGGCACCUUCCUGCCUCUCUGUCCAGGAAGCAGCCCCCCUGCUGCCCUACUCUGCCCCUUCCUCGAGGCUCACGUAGUGCGAGCAGCCCUGGGGAGACCCGUGUGGCGGCCACUUGGAGGGCACUGGGAGAGGUUUGCUUGGCAGCUCUCCCUGCCCGGGCUUAGCACCACCUUGCACAGGACUCAGAGUUCCAGGCCGUUCUGCAGGGGCUGCUGAGGAGGGCGGGAGGAGGGGUGGGGCUGGCGUGAUCUGUGAGUGCCCGGUCACUGCCAUAACGGCGCCCUGACCCAGCCACUGGCGUCUGGAGGUGCCCGAGAACCGGGGCAUAGCGGGGCAGGAGGCCCAGCCCUUAGCCCCACUCCGAUCACACCAUUCCCUGCGAGCACACAGCCCCGCCCGUGCCAGUCCAGAUGCACCUGCUGUAGCAGGUAGCGCGGCUCCAGGUGGCACCGAGGUGUCUGACCCUCCUUGGAGCACAGAGAGCUCCAGGUCACCAGGAGCUCGGCAGAAAACCGUGCAGACACGAACAGCCUCCGCCUGGUGCCCAGCUGCGGGGCCUCUGCCGGGGACUCUCGUGUCCUGGACUGGUACCUCUGUCUCCAGGAUGCUCUGCGCCAGGCCUUCCUGCCCUUCUGUCCAGGAGGACGCCAGAGGCUCAGCAACACAGCUUCGGGGCCCAUCAAAGUCCUCCUGUUUAGAGGGACAGCCUGCCACCCCCAGCCACCUCCUGCCAUGCCCGGGACGACAGGCCCCACCACCUUGGCUGUGUCCUGAGAGUGCCCUGAAGAGUUCGGCCCCGACUGGGCAGGGCUGCCCAGGAGCCAGGCAAGUUAACCAUUGACUGGGGCUGGGGAGGAAGUGGCCGCACUGGGGCGCAAAACCCAGGACCCUCUUCCUCUGCAGGGCCGCUAAUGGCCCUUGUCCACCCUGGACGGGACCGGGAGCUGCUCCCACCGCACAGUCAGACACCCACGGUCCAGGCUGCGUGGGUCACUGGGGCCGGAGCUGGGGAAGCUCCAGGGGGGCGGAGAGAAAACGCUGGCGGGAGGAGCGCUUGCUUGGAGCCCCCGCCUGACUGAACGGAGGGCGCUGUGCACCCCGCAGGCAGCACUGGGGCCGCGCCUCAGUGUCCCCACUGCCCGCCCUCUGUAACCCGGUACUUGUACCUGUAAUUCGGGCCGCGUCCCUGCAGAAGGAGCCGAGCGCAGAAGCCUCGGGGAGAGGCUGAAGUGGGGAGCAGAGGCGCCCUCAGGGUGCCCAGGCCGAGCCUGGCAGCGGGGGCACAGCUGCUGUCACGGACAGAGACAGGUGCAGGAGCCGAACCUGCCCCGCGCAGCGCCCAGGCUUUCACUAUGUGGCGCAGGCUGGCCUCGAACUCACAGCGAUCCUCCUGCCUCAGCCUCCUGAGUGCUGGGACUACAGCGUGCACCACCAGAUCCCGCUCCUUUCCCCAAUUUAAAUCUUUACCAGCCGCCUUUCAGACCUGUCCCACCAGCCACAGCCCUGCUUCUUACUGCCAGAAAGUGGCAAGGAGGGAAAGAAUUUGAGGGAGAUUCAUAGCAGUACUAAAGCAUUUUUACUGUAAUGAAAAUGUUUCGAGGGCUGGAGAUUUAUUGACCUCAGUGGUACCACC